RNAcentral lists this ribosomal RNA (254 nucleotides) under uncultured bacterium. RNAcentral's name for it is "partial 16S ribosomal RNA". It matches the Rfam family "Bacterial small subunit ribosomal RNA", at positions 524 to 776 of the family's 1533-position model. The record is from RNAcentral.
UACGUAGGGUGCAAGCGUUGUCCGGAAUUAUUGGGCGUAAAGAGCUCGUAGGCGGUUCGGCAAGUCGGAUGUGAAAUCUCCACGCUUAACGUGGAGGGGCCAUUCGAAACUGCUGUGACUCGAGUCCGGUAGGGGAGUGUGGAAUUCCCGGUGUAGCGGUGAAAUGCGCAGAUAUCGGGAGGAACACCAGUAGCGAAGGCGGCACUCUGGGCCGGUACUGACGCUGAGGAGCGAAAGCGUGGGGAGCGAACAGG